AGCAUGUUAGCUGAGUGUAAGUGUUAAUUAAAUCAGCUAGUAGUGAUGUUGAUGGUAUUUUCUAGCAAUUCAUAAACGCAAUGAAAAUAGCUCACAAGUUGCUAACUACUUCGUGCCUUGUCCAUUAAGUGAAGCAAUAACGCGAAGUAAACUCAAUACAUCGUAAACCUUUCUAUUUAUUGAAUGUUAUGUCAGUGGCAAAGAACUCAGCCGUUGAUCUACGCCCACUGCAACCAUCGAACUCGAAAUUUUGCUUAAACAGUUUGCACGCACGAAGAUGCCUUCGACCUCAAAUAGUUAUUCAUAUAAUCUUAAGAAUGUGAGAAUUUGCGGAAUACGUAUGUAAGUCAUACUCGCAACCGCACAUUCGGAGUAGACGAGCACGAGAAAUACGACGCAGGCUGGAGAAUACAUCACAACAGGCGACAUUAAUAAGCAUGCAGGCUCAACCAUCAUCAUUAUUAAAUCGUACUCCUUCUGCGCAUGGUAUGAAGGUGGGAACCUCCACUAGAUUGCUGCGCAUUGCAUUGAAGGGGGGGGGCGGAAGGGAGCGAAGGUACACCUAAAGAAGGGUGUCUUCUUCUUACUUUUUGAAGCAGAUAUUACUUUUGAUAUUAGUUACAAAGGGGGUCCGGUGUGAGGAUCCGAAAAGUGACAAUUACUUCAAGGACUCGUUCUCAAAAACUACCUAAUUGAAAAAAACUGACAAAAGUUGUGAUGGUCUUCGUUACGAUAUCUGCUCAAAUAAAGUUAAUAAUGGCAUAUUUUUGAAUUUUGAAAAUUUACUGCGAACUCCCCUUAGCUUCAUUCUAGGUACGUAAAAUUUUGAAGUAAAAUAGAUUUUAAUAGGAAGCAUCGUACAAUUUGGUGGAGAAUCAUUCUAUUGUGAACAAGCUACUACUA
This is a long non-coding RNA of Hermetia illucens (black soldier fly), 903 nucleotides long. RefSeq lists it as uncharacterized. NCBI's taxonomy places the organism in Eukaryota, Metazoa, Arthropoda, Insecta, Diptera, Stratiomyidae. The transcript is spliced from 3 exons. The record is from RefSeq and is a predicted model, not a curated record.